Ruditapes philippinarum (Manila clam) is the source of this 378-nucleotide long non-coding RNA. RefSeq lists it as uncharacterized. Lineage: Eukaryota; Metazoa; Mollusca; Bivalvia; Venerida; Veneridae. The record is from RefSeq and is a predicted model, not a curated record. The transcript is spliced from 3 exons.
UAUUUGGAAUAAUAGUUGUUUUUUUAUCGUACCUUUGUAUUGUACCUUUUCAACGUAUUAAUUGAAAAGUUACUUAACUGUACUGCUUAUUUGGACAUUUACUAGAAAUCUGUGGAUUAAAUGAUAGCAGGUGUGGGUAUAGAUCAGUAUUUUGGAUUGGUUCAUUUGAUCUCAUGAUGAAGUAACCAUAGCGAUAGGGAGUUACCACGGUAACCAGCAAUGAUGCUGGCCCUGGACGUUAACCUCCUCACCAACAAACUACAGAAGCAAAGCCUUGAGGAGGGGCCGACGGCAACGCCCAAUAUAAAACUGAUCAAUCAUGAAGCCGGGUUUAAGCUCAGCGAGUCGGCACAGGCUAAGCUUGGAGCUGGAGGUAAG